UUACAGCCUUGCUGAAUUAUUCACCCUUGUCUUUUGCGUACUUCUUGUUUCCUUGGUGGGUUCGCCCACCACUAGGACAAACAUAAACCUUUUGUAAUUGCAAUCAGCGUCAGUAACAAAUUAAUAAUUACAACUUUCAACAACGGAUCUCUUGGUUCUGGCAUCGAUGAAGAACGCAGCGAAAUGCGAUAAGUAGUGUGAAUUGCAGAAUUCAGUGAAUCAUCGAAUCUUUGAACGCACAUUGCGCCCUUUGGUAUUCCAAAGGGCAUGCCUGUUCGAGCGUCAUUUGUACCCUCAAGCUUUGCUUGGUGUUGGGCGUCUUGUCUCUAGCUUUGCUGGAGACUCGCCUUAAAGUAAUUGGCAGCCGGCCUACUGGUUUCGGAGCGCAGCACAAGUCGCACUCUCUAUCAGCAAAGGUCUAGCAUCCAUUAAGCCUUUUUUUCAACUUUUGACCUCGGAUCAGGUAGGGAUACCCGCUGAACUUAAGCAUAUCAA
This 495-nucleotide ribosomal RNA is filed under the name Alternaria sp. RNAcentral describes it as "eukaryotic LSU rRNA". The stretch from base 132 to 285 matches the Rfam family "5.8S ribosomal RNA". Lineage: Eukaryota; Fungi; Ascomycota; Dothideomycetes; Pleosporales; Pleosporaceae. The record is from RNAcentral.